UCCACCAUUGUAUCUAUUCCAAAAACCUGCAGACACAAGUACAAUUCGACUUUACAAGAUUAAUUUUAAUGAUACACAUUAGAUAAGGACAUACAUGGAAAUUAAGAACUAAUAUCAUGAGAAUAGAACAAAUAUUUUUAAAAGCACUGAUAAGAAUUCAGAGGAUGAGAUUUAAGCAAGCAGUAAAGAAGCAAUAACAAUUUCAAGUAAUAGCUAGCUAGCCUAGACAACAUUCAACUUAGCAUCUAAAGUUUAGACAACAUUCAUUUUGCUACCAAUGUUGUUAGCAUUUGAUGUUAUAUACUAGUUAUAAGGCUUUGUAAGCAACAGACACCUAUAUCAACUACAUACGAGUAUUAUUGAGAAAUUCUUAAACUAGUGUUAUAGUUUUUU
RNAcentral lists this long non-coding RNA (393 nucleotides) under Erythranthe guttata (spotted monkey flower). RNAcentral's name for it is "long non-coding RNA (EGUT_LNC000911)". The record is from RNAcentral. Lineage: Eukaryota; Viridiplantae; Streptophyta; Magnoliopsida; Lamiales; Phrymaceae.